Molecule: ribosomal RNA, 465 nt
Filed under: uncultured bacterium
Lineage: Bacteria
Description: partial 16S ribosomal RNA
Rfam family: Bacterial small subunit ribosomal RNA
Source: RNAcentral
GACGAACGCUGGCGGCGUGCUUAACACAUGCAAGUCGAACGGAAAGGCCCCUUUGGGGGUACUCGAGUGGCGAACGGGUGAGUAACACGUGAGUAACCUGCCCUUGACUUCGGGAUAACUUCAGGAAACUGGGGCUAAUACCGGAUAGGAAUCCUUGCUGCAUGGUGGGGGUUGGAAAGCUUCGGCGGUUUUGGAUGGACUCGCGGCUUAUCAGCUUGUUGGUGGGGUAGUGGCUUACCAAGGCUUUGACGGGUAGCCGGCCUGAGAGGGCGACCGGCCACAGUGGGACUGCGAGACGGCCCAGACGCCUACGGGAGGCAGCAGUGGGGAAUAUUGCACAAGGGGCGGAAGCCUGAUGCAGCAACGCCGCGGGCGGGAGGACGGCCUUCGGGUUGUAAACCGCUUUCAGCAGGGGCGAAGCUUGUGGUGACGGUACCUGCAGAAGAAGCACCGGCUAACUACGUG